GCCCCAGUAGCUUAAUGGUGGAGCGGCUGAUUCGUAAUCAGCAGGUUGCAGGUUCAAAUCCUGUCUGGGGCU
RNAcentral lists this transfer RNA (72 nucleotides) under Candidatus Woesearchaeota archaeon. Its description in RNAcentral is "tRNA-Thr". It matches the Rfam family "tRNA". From Rfam's summary of the family: Transfer RNA (tRNA) molecules are approximately 80 nucleotides in length. Their secondary structure includes four short double-helical elements and three loops (D, anti-codon, and T loops). Further hydrogen bonds mediate the characteristic L-shaped molecular structure. tRNAs have two regions of fundamental functional importance: the anti-codon, which is responsible for specific mRNA codon recognition, and the 3' end, to which the tRNAs corresponding amino acid is attached (by aminoacyl-tRNA synthetases). tRNAs cope with the degeneracy of the genetic code in two manners: having more than one tRNA (with a specific anti-codon) for a particular amino acid; and 'wobble' base-pairing, i.e. permitting non-standard base-pairing at the 3rd anti-codon position. The record is from RNAcentral. Lineage: Archaea; Nanobdellati; Candidatus Woesearchaeota.